CAGUCUAGGACAGAAGACAAAAUAGAACGAUUCAAGAAAGCAGUUGAGUACUAUUCAGUCACAACCAAACUCUCUUCACUGCCAGUGGGUCCUUCCUUUCUAGGCUUUCGAAAUAAUCGGCUUGGAAAUCCUCCCCUUCCACGGAAUCAAAUGGGCCCUAUUUCUCCUGGAAAGCCAAUGUUUUCUCGCCAGAUGCCCCAGAAAAUGAAAUAUCCACCACCAUUUCCAAUGGGACCCAACUCAUCUCUUCUCUUCUCCCAUAGUGUGGGAGAAUCCCAUGCUUUCUCUGAGGAUGCCAUGCUACAGGACAGUUCCUUUGCCAAUUGGGCUGUUUCUUAUGACUCUAAUACAUCCCAGUUUCCUAACUGCCUGACUUCCAAAACUUCACCUCCUUUGGGACCAGAUUCUUCCCAUUCCUCUUCCUCUGAUGGUGACGAGGCAAAUGGAGCUGGUUCUGAACAAGUCACAGAAGCAGUUCAACAACAGCCUGGAUGGGAAGAUCCCAGUGGUGACAGAGGAGCUUGGGUACAGCCUGUUGAUGCUGGAGCUUCAGAAACAAACGCAACUGAAAGUGAACCUCACAUCCCAUC
RNAcentral lists this long non-coding RNA (590 nucleotides) under Rattus norvegicus (Norway rat). Its description in RNAcentral is "long non-coding RNA NONRATT030936". Lineage: Eukaryota; Metazoa; Chordata; Mammalia; Rodentia; Muridae. The record is from RNAcentral.